GAUGAACGCUGGCGGCGUGCCUAAUACAUGCAAGUCGAGCGAACAGAUGAGGAGCUUGCUCCUCUGACGUUAGCGGCGGACGGGUGAGUAACACGUGGAUAACCUACCUAUAAGACUGGGAUAACUUCGGGAAACCGGAGCUAAUACCGGAUAAUAUAUUGAACCGCAUGGUUCAAUAGUGAAAGACGGUUUUGCUGUCACUUAUAGAUGGAUCCGCGCCGCAUUAGCUAGUUGGUAAGGUAACGGCUUACCAAGGCGACGAUGCGUAGCCGACCUGAGAGGGUGAUCGGCCACACUGGAACUGGGACACGGUCCAGACUCCUACGGGAGGCAGCAGUAGGGAAUCUUCCGCAAUGGGCGAAAGCCUGACGGAGCAACGCCGCGUGAGUGAUGAAGGUCUUCGGAUCGUAAAACUCUGUUAUUAGGGAAGAACAAAUGUGUAAGUAACUAUGCACGUCUUGACGGUACCUAAUCAGAAAGCCACGGCUAACUACGUG
Molecule: ribosomal RNA, 497 nt
Filed under: uncultured bacterium
Lineage: Bacteria
Description: partial 16S ribosomal RNA
Rfam family: Bacterial small subunit ribosomal RNA
Source: RNAcentral